GUGGAUUAGAUACCCUGGUAGUCCACGCUGUAAACGAUGUUCACUAGGUGUUGGGGGUAUUGACCCUCUCAGUGCCGUAGCUAACGCAUUAAGUGAACCGCCUGGGAAGUACGGUCGCAAGACUAAAACUCAAAGGAAUUGACGGGGGCCCGCACAAGCGGUGGAGCAUGUGGUUUAAUUCGAUGCAACGCGAAGAACCUUACCUGGGCUUGACAUCCCAAGAAUCUCCUGGAAACAGGAGAGUGCCCUUCGGGGAGCUUGGAGACAGGUGCUGCACGGUCGUCGUCAACU
This 291-nucleotide ribosomal RNA is filed under the name uncultured bacterium. RNAcentral's name for it is "partial 16S ribosomal RNA". It matches the Rfam family "Bacterial small subunit ribosomal RNA", at positions 773 to 1060 of the family's 1533-position model. The record is from RNAcentral.